AAGGGACCUUGAACAUAAGCUCUGUGGAGCCAUGAGUCUACGGGAUAACUGAGAGAUGGAAUUCACAAACAGUUCCUAGAGUCAAGGCAAAACAUCCUGGUUGGAUGCUUGGUUGAAUCAUUGUCUCAGACACCACUUUGGGCUCAUCUAUGCCUGACAUGUUGUAAGAACUCUCUGUACUUCGACCUGAGGUUGCUGGACCUCCUUGGGGACUUCUACUGACUCUGUGAAACACAUCUGAAAAGGCUGUAGAAGUCAAGAGAGAACAGCAUGCCCCUGCCUUCUUCUCUUCUCUCAAACACAGGUCCUUCAGAGCUCUAACGGGAGAGUCCUCCUCUCAAAUGCACCCGAUGUUCUCAGUAUGGAAACCCCAAGUUCCUCCCAAGAAGUUACAGUUUGGGGGGAGAGGGAUGGGAUCAACAUGGAAUGUUUUUCUCAAUGUAAACUCAAGACAUUUGACAUGCUGAGUCUAUAGACCCAUGAUAAAACAGAGACGGUUACUCUCCAUCCACAAAUAUCUGGGGCCUCUGCCAAGCCAAAGAAGCAGCCAUGUCCAGACCUUUAUUCAGCCUACACCCCUCACCAUGCUAAGAGCCAAAGCCACCCAACCAGUGAGGCAAAAGCAGAAUGACAACUUAGCUCUACCACCAACCUUCCCAGAAACCUUUGCAUACCGCCAGUGCUGUCCAGAU
This 692-nucleotide long non-coding RNA is filed under the name Mus caroli (Ryukyu mouse). RNAcentral describes it as "predicted gene 15647 (MGP_CAROLIEiJ_G0002515.1)". Lineage: Eukaryota; Metazoa; Chordata; Mammalia; Rodentia; Muridae. The record is from RNAcentral.